GAACUUGUAUUGCACUAAAGAGAGAUUUACAAUGCUUGAGUUGCUUGUAGUUGUUUUGUGAUGCUUGGAGGAUUGUUGGAUUGUUGUUGGAUGAUUUACAAAUGAGAAGUGCUAGCCUAUUUAUACUUGCUAGCCUUCCAAAUCAAUGGCUAGGAUGCAUUCUAAUGGAUGGCUAGGAUUAAUUCUCUAGAGAAUUCUACAACUAUCUAGCUAUAGAAUAUGCAAGACAAGUCUAGAGUCUUCCAUGUGUGGAGUGUUCUAGACUUGUGUAGAGAAUGCUAGAGAAAUCUAGAGAAAUGUAGAGAAAGUUGCCAUGCGUGCGCCAUGUCAAUGCUUGCGUGUCGCCCAGUCAUCGCUUGCAUGGCAUAACCUCUUACAAAUGUGGCCAUUUCGAUGCAUGACCACUUGCAAAUAUGGCCGGUCCGUCACAUC
This 432-nucleotide long non-coding RNA is filed under the name Nicotiana benthamiana. Its description in RNAcentral is "long non-coding RNA (NBEN_LNC002226)". The record is from RNAcentral. Lineage: Eukaryota; Viridiplantae; Streptophyta; Magnoliopsida; Solanales; Solanaceae.